UACGGGGGGGGGCAAGCGUUGUUCGGAAUUACUGGGCGUAAAGGGCUCGUAGGUGGCCAACUAAGUCAGACGUGAAAUCCCUCAGCUUAACUGGGGAACUGCGUCUGAUACUGGAUGGCUUGAAUCCGGGAGAGGGAUGCGGAAUUCCAGGUGUAGCGGUGAAAUGCGUAGAUAUCUGGAGGAACACCGGUGGCGAAGGCGGCAUCCUGGACCGGCAUUGACGCUGAGGCGCGAAAGCCAGGGGAGCAAACGGG
RNAcentral lists this ribosomal RNA (254 nucleotides) under uncultured bacterium. RNAcentral's name for it is "partial 16S ribosomal RNA". It matches the Rfam family "Bacterial small subunit ribosomal RNA", at positions 524 to 776 of the family's 1533-position model. The record is from RNAcentral.